CACGCAUGCACAACAAACGUACUAUUUCCACUCUCUCCUUUUAAAAGACCUGCACAGUGAUUCAGGCUAUACUUUUCCUCCCCUUUAUAAAUAGCUGCACUCCGCUCAAUGACGUGGGAUACGCACGUACAUGUGUAGGUGAAUCUUUGAAUGAGCGCUCCCUCUCCUCCCUCUCUCCCCUCCUCCCUCCUCCGUGCCUUCUACUAGUUACUACGGGAUCUCUAUAAAAAGCCUAAGGUUGAUGGGAGAGCCCGGUCUAUGGGAAGCGACUCUGGAGAAGAGGGACGGCAGCGUCUGUGCGCGAAGACAGCAUGGCACAGAUUUGCGCUGACAGUCUUGUGGUGAUGAAGACAGCGAGUUCAGAGAGAGAGAGAGUGGGGGGACAGAGAUAUUUCCACAGCCAAGUGCCGCAGACACGCAGGGAGCUUUGAAUGAGGUUUUUCCAUGAGGGGAUUGUUUGUCCUUCUCACCAUUUCUUCCCCGUCCUGUUGCCAGAGCAUCAGCACCUUGGCUUUAGACUGCUUACUGCUUAUACAGUAUCAAAGUACAGUAACAGUCUACAGUCAUGGCUACUGAAGCCUGGCAAUGCAUCAAACACCACAGUGAAGGCAACAUGAACACCCAGUGAAAAAGAUAUUAUCUCAUUCUAUUUUAAAUGGCUGAUGUGAUGGCAGGAGUUCACUCUGCUAGAGAUCCCCCUCUGUGCCCCCCCCCACAAAACACCCACCCACUCAGCCACCCACCCGCUCAGAGAGGAAACCUGUGUGGGCUUGCAUUGGGGGAGACCUACACAAUGUAAGCACGUAGCAUUCACACUCAAGCCAAUGAGACCUUGCAGGUUUCCUGUUACCAUGCCUACUCCAGUUCCUCCUCCACCCUGCUGUCUCCAUGGCGACCGUGGCUUUAGAUUGUUACUCUAGCAACAGCACCAUGGUAACAGUCUACAGCCAUGGUCGUUAGGGGCAGGUGUCAUCAGGAAAGAGAGAAGUUGCAGCUCAUGGUGAACUUCACAGUUAAGGUGUCUCGUGAACUUGGUGAGAUGUCACUCAUUCGUUCAGGUGAAAAGAUGCCAGUUUAAUGUAUUCAUGUCUGUGAAUACUGAGGUAUGACUCAUGUCAUUUAUUGCUUAUGGUGUUUUGACUUUAUUUAAUAAUGUGUUUCGCUCGCUACACCCAACACCUUCACGAUAAGUUAAGCUGCGACACAUGGACACACACUGCCUUCCAUUUUAACUUCAUUACACAUAGGAUGCUUCUUUUGAUCAGUGAGUACAGUGAUGAAUGCACAGAGCACAUGCUGAACGGAUGAGUCAGCCAGCUCCAACACCUGCUCUGCUCUCUGUUUAUCAGACAAGAGCAGCUUCACUUCAAAGCAGCACAGCCAAGAAUUCCCUGUGGGCAGCGCUAUAACCUGCAGGCACAUACAAACACACACUGGGUCCUAACAGGUGGGCUAACCCACACGCACGCAUGCACACAUGCACACAUGCAGAUACACAUGUUUGGUAUGCUUACAACAAACACAUCACACUCAUAAAGACUGCACUCCAACUUAGGCUACUCUACUUCAAACAUUACUCAGUAAUGUUUAGAGUUAUACUGCCCUCCAGAGGCUUGAAUUUGCCAAGGUCAUCUGCUUAACACAUUUUUUUUUUCCAGACUGAAAAGUUCUGCAGCAAGCGAAAUAUAAAUAAAAGCUUUAUCCCAGUGGCGUGUGGAUACUUGCGAAAAUAUCUGCCUUUCAAUGUGAUGAUGUGUUAGCUUUUCCUACUUUGUAACCGAAAAGGUGGAUGUUGGCUCAAUUAAAGGUCUGGCAAUGAAGAUAAUCAAAACAA
This is a long non-coding RNA of Oreochromis niloticus (Nile tilapia), 1834 nucleotides long. RefSeq lists it as uncharacterized. The transcript is spliced from 2 exons. Lineage: Eukaryota; Metazoa; Chordata; Actinopteri; Cichliformes; Cichlidae. The record is from RefSeq and is a predicted model, not a curated record.